Molecule: unclassified non-coding RNA, 201 nt
Filed under: Hevea brasiliensis (rubber tree)
Lineage: Eukaryota; Viridiplantae; Streptophyta; Magnoliopsida; Malpighiales; Euphorbiaceae
Source: RNAcentral
UUGAAUUCUUGUUACACAAGUACAAUAAACAAUUGAAAACGCAUCCUUGCUAGGAUUUUAUGUUAACUCAUUAAAAUCCCAAUUACGACACAUACUAAUACUAUGCAAGUGAGUGCUAGGUGGCAAAAGUAUGUCAACAAAAUGAGCACAGGUAAGAUAAGAUCAACAUGUAGAAACACAAGAAUGGAUGAGAUAAUAAAA